UACGUAGGGUGCAAGCGUUGUCCGGAAUUAUUGGGCGUAAAGAGCUCGUAGGUGGUUUGUCGCGUUGUCCGUGAAAACUCACAGCUCAACUGUGGGCGUGCGGGCGAUACGGGGCAGACUGGAGUACUGCAGGGGAGACUGGAAUUCCUGGUGUAGCGGUGGAAUGCGCAGAUAUCAGGAGGAACACCGGUGGCGAAGGCGGGUCUCUGGGCAGUAACUGACGCUGAGGAGCGAAAAGCGUGGGGGAGCGAACAGG
Molecule: ribosomal RNA, 256 nt
Filed under: uncultured bacterium
Lineage: Bacteria
Description: partial 16S ribosomal RNA
Rfam family: Bacterial small subunit ribosomal RNA
Source: RNAcentral